CAUAAACCUUUGAAUAAGAAUAGUAGGUACAUAACAAUAACUUACAGAGAGCUGUGGAGGCUGAGAACAUAGCAGAUAUUUAUAUACCGAAUGGACUUAUGAGGGCGAACGAACAGGAUUAAACCUAAGUAGCAAUCGACGGCAACCGCAGUCGUUAUUAAGCGGAGCGUAUGACAGUACGUGUUAAAGGUGGGUGCUUUUAAGCAUCAAUUUGAGUGGUACCGCAGGAUAUUUCGUCUUGUCU
RNAcentral lists this non-coding RNA (244 nucleotides) under Peptoanaerobacter stomatis. Its description in RNAcentral is "T-box sequence". It matches the Rfam family "T-box leader". From Rfam's summary of the family: Uncharged tRNA acts as the effector for transcription antitermination of genes in the T-box leader family. T-boxes are found upstream of many aminoacyl-tRNA synthetase genes and some amino acid biosynthetic genes usually in Gram-positive bacteria. The record is from RNAcentral. Lineage: Bacteria; Bacillati; Bacillota; Clostridia; Peptostreptococcales; Filifactoraceae.